GAUGAACGCUGGCGGCGUGCCUAAUACAUGCAAGUCGAGCGAACAGACGAGGAGCUUGCUCCUCUGACGUUAGCGGCGGACGGGUGAGUAACACGUGGAUAACCUACCUAUAAGACUGGGAUAACUUCGGGAAACCGGAGCUGAUACCGGAUAAUAUAUUGAACCGCAUGGUUCAAUAGUGAAAGACGGUUUUGCUGUCACUUAUAGAUGGAUCCGCGCCGCAUUAGCUAGUUGGUAAGGUAACGGCUUACCAAGGCAACGAUGCGUAGCCGACCUGAGAGGGUGAUCGGCCACACUGGAACUGAGACACGGUCCAGACUCCGACGGGAGGCAGCAGUAGGGAAUCUUCCGAGAUGGGCGAAAGCCUGACGGAGCAACGCCGUGUGAGUGAUGAAGGGCUUCGGAUCGUAAAACUCUGUUAUUAGGGAAGAACAAAUGUGUAAGUAACUAUGCACGUCUUGACGGUACCUAAUCAGAAAGCCACGGCUAACUACGU
This 496-nucleotide ribosomal RNA is filed under the name uncultured bacterium. Its description in RNAcentral is "partial 16S ribosomal RNA". It matches the Rfam family "Bacterial small subunit ribosomal RNA", at positions 28 to 506 of the family's 1533-position model. The record is from RNAcentral.